UGAGAAAUAGUUAUACGUAAUAUCUUUUGCAGAUGACUUUUUGAAAAGAAAUCUAUGGACAAAGAAGCUGUUUUUCAACCUUUGCUGACAACUAAAGAGCAAUGAAUGUAACUCCCAGAUGUUUACCUUACCUAUUGGAAGAGAGAGCAAGGGGGAUUACGUAGCAGUUGAUGACAGCGGUUGUUUUUGCAUGUUCUGGAAGCAAAGGAGAAUUAUAUAUUCCGUCUGAAUUGGAUAUCCAAAUCAUAUCCUCUUUGGAAGAUGUUUUGGAAAUUUCAGAUCUAAAUCUGAAUUCGCUGUAUCAUCAAGGAUUUAUACAAGUCAAUACCAAAAUCCGGGCUGCAACAAAGGCACAAGAAGGCAGCCAACACCACUAAGCAGAAUCCCAAUGUAACCUGGAAAGAUUUUUUCCUGUCUUCACAUUUCUGUUUAUUUUCUGUUUAUUCA
RNAcentral lists this long non-coding RNA (447 nucleotides) under Chrysolophus pictus (golden pheasant). Its description in RNAcentral is "lncRNA (ENSCPIG00010009499.1)". Lineage: Eukaryota; Metazoa; Chordata; Aves; Galliformes; Phasianidae. The record is from RNAcentral.